UACGUAGGGGGCUAGCGUUAUCCGGAAUUACUGGGCGUAAAGGGUGCGUAGGUGGUUUCUUAAGUCAGAGGUGAAAGGCUACGGCUCAACCGUAGUAAGCCUUUGAAACUGGGAAACUUGAGUGCAGGAGAGGAGAGUGGAAUUCCUAGUGUAGCGGUGAAAUGCGUAGAUAUUAGGAGGAACACCAGUUGCGAAGGCGGCUCUCUGGACUGUAACUGACACUGAGGCGCGAAAGCGUGGGGAGCAAACAGGAUUAGAUACCCCCGUAGUCCCUGAGCGGG
This 281-nucleotide ribosomal RNA is filed under the name uncultured prokaryote. RNAcentral describes it as "partial 16S ribosomal RNA". It matches the Rfam family "Bacterial small subunit ribosomal RNA", at positions 524 to 803 of the family's 1533-position model. The record is from RNAcentral.